RNAcentral lists this ribosomal RNA (158 nucleotides) under Trichoderma sp. ZK200/08. RNAcentral describes it as "5.8S ribosomal RNA". The stretch from base 43 to 158 matches the Rfam family "5.8S ribosomal RNA", at positions 1 to 116 of the family's 154-position model. From Rfam's summary of the family: 5.8S ribosomal RNA (5.8S rRNA) is a component of the large subunit of the eukaryotic ribosome. It is transcribed by RNA polymerase I as part of the 45S precursor that also contains 18S and 28S rRNA. Lineage: Eukaryota; Fungi; Ascomycota; Sordariomycetes; Hypocreales; Hypocreaceae. The record is from RNAcentral.
GUUAUUUCUUACAGCUCUGAGCAAAAAUUCAAAAUGAAUCAAAACUUUCAACAACGGAUCUCUUGGCUCUCGCAUCGAUGAAGAACGCAGCGAAAUGCGAUAAGUAAUGUGAAUUGCAGAAUUCAGUGAAUCAUCGAAUCUUUGAACGCAUCUUGCGC